ACUCCUACGGGAGGCUGCAGUGGGGAAUCUUGCGCAAUGGGGGAAACCCUGACGCAGCGACGCCGCGUGGAGGAUGAAGGUCUUCGGGUUGUAAACUCCUUUUCUUGGGGAAAAUGAUGAUGGUACUCAAGGAAUAAGCCACGGCUAACUCUGUGCCAGCAGCCGCGGUAAGACAGAGGUGGCGAGCGUUGUUCGGAAUUACUGGGCUUAAAGGGCGAGUAGGCGGUAGAGCAAGUCUGAGGUGGAAUCCUAUGGCUUAACCAUAGAACUGCCUUAGAAACUGCUUUACUUGAGUCAGUGAGGGGAGGGCGGAAUUCCUGGUGUAGCGGUGAAAUGCGUAGAUAUCAGGAGGAAGGCCUGUGGCGAAAGCGGCCCUCUGGCACUGUACUGACGCUGAGGCGCGAAAGCGUGGGGAGCAAACAGGAUUAGAUACCCUGGUAGUCCACGCCCUAAACGGUGGGCAUUAGGUGUAGGGCUCGUAAGGGUUCUGUGCCGAAGGGAAACCAUUAAAUGCCCCGCCUGGGGAGU
RNAcentral lists this ribosomal RNA (528 nucleotides) under uncultured bacterium. RNAcentral describes it as "bacterial SSU rRNA". It matches the Rfam family "Bacterial small subunit ribosomal RNA", at positions 335 to 881 of the family's 1533-position model. The record is from RNAcentral.